GAUGAACGCUGGCGGCGUGCCUAAUACAUGCAAGUCGAGCGAACCACUUCGGUGGUGAGCGGCGAACGGGUGAGUAACACGUAGGUCAUCUGCCCAUCAGACGGGGACAACGAUUGGAAACGAUCGCUAAUACCGGAUAGGACGAAAGUUUAAAGGUGCUCCUGGCACCGCUGAUGGAUGAGCCUGCGGCGCAUUAGCUAGUUGGUAGGGUAACGGCCUACCAAGGCGACGAUGCGUAGCCGACCUGAGAGGGUGAACGGCCACACUGGGACUGAGACACGGCCCAGACUCCUACGGGAGGCAGCAGUAGGGAAUCUUCGGCAAUGGGCGAAAGCCUGACCGAGCAACGCCGCGUGAAUGAUGAAGGCCUUCGGGUUGUAAAAUUCUGUUAUAAGGGAAGAACGACUUUAGUAGGAAAUGGCUAGAGUGUGACGGUACCUUAUGAGAAAGCCACGGCUAACUACGUGCCAGCAGCCGCGGUAAUACGUAGGUGGCGAGCGUUAUCCGGAAUUAUUGGGCGUAAAGAGCGCGCAGGUGGUUGAUUAAGUCUGAUGUGAAAGCCCACGGCUUAACCGUGGAGGGUCAUUGGAAACUGGUCAACUUGAGUGCAGAAGAGGGAAGUGGAAUUC
RNAcentral lists this ribosomal RNA (629 nucleotides) under uncultured Bacillota bacterium. RNAcentral describes it as "bacterial SSU rRNA". It matches the Rfam family "Bacterial small subunit ribosomal RNA", at positions 28 to 669 of the family's 1533-position model. Lineage: Bacteria; Bacillati; Bacillota. The record is from RNAcentral.